GUGAUGGCAACGAGGAAGGAAGUGGACAGUGGUCACUAUUUACCCCUUAGUUCCAAGGUUCUGAUCACUUUAACUGCUGCAGUGAAAGGAGAGCGAGGAUGAGGGAGGCAUUCAUUGACGAAGUCCCACUGGUGGGGGAAUGAGGAGUGGUUGUGAG
Molecule: long non-coding RNA, 157 nt
Organism: Lepidothrix coronata (blue-crowned manakin)
Lineage: Eukaryota; Metazoa; Chordata; Aves; Passeriformes; Pipridae
Exons: 3
Source: RefSeq, a predicted model, not a curated record